CCUACGUGAGGCAGCAGUGGGGCCUAUUGCACAAUGGGGGAAACCCUGAUGCAGCGCCGCCGCGUGAGUGAAGAAGUAUUUCGGUCUGUACAGCUCUAUCAGCAGGGAAGACAAUGACGGUAACUGAUUAAGAAGCCCCGGCUAACUACGUGCCAGCAGCCGCGUUAAUACGUAGGGGGCAAGCGUUAUCCGGAUUUACUGGGUGUAACGGGAGCGUAGACGGCAGCACAGGUCUGGAGUGAAAUGCCGGGGCUUAACCCCGGAACUGCGUUGGAAACUGUUCAGCGAGAGUGCAGGAGAGGUAAGUGGAAUUCCUAGGGUAGCGGUGAAAUGCGGAGAUAUUAGGAGGAACACCAGUGGCGAAGGCGGCUUACUGGACUGUAACUGACGUGGAGGCUCGAAAGCGUGGUGAGCAAACAGGAUUAGAUACCCCAGUAGUC
RNAcentral lists this ribosomal RNA (440 nucleotides) under uncultured bacterium. RNAcentral's name for it is "partial 16S ribosomal RNA". It matches the Rfam family "Bacterial small subunit ribosomal RNA", at positions 338 to 795 of the family's 1533-position model. The record is from RNAcentral.